UGGACAACAGGUAGAGAUUCCUGUACCAGUGCUAAUUGUUUAACCGAUGGGGUGACACAGAAGGAUAGGGAAUCGCACGAAUGGAAAUGUGCGUCCAAGCAGUGAGUGUGAGAAGUAGGCAAAUCCGCUUCUCGCGAAGCAUGAGCUGUGAUGGGGAAGGAAAUUAAGUACGGAAGUUCCUGAUUUCACGCUGUCAAGAAAAGCCUCUAGGAAGAGUAGUACUGCCCGUACCGCAAACCGACACAGGUAGAUGAGGAGAGAAUCCUAAGGUGAGCGAGAGAACUCUCGUUAAGGAACUCGGCAAAAUGACCCCGUAACUUCGGGAGAAGGGGUGCUCUAUUAGGGUGCAAGCCCGAGAGAGCCGCAGUGAAUAGGCCCAGGCGACUGUUUAGCAAAAACACAGGUCUCUGCAAAACCGUAAGGUGACGUAUAGGGGCUGACGCCUGCCCGGUGCUGGAAGGUUAAGAGGAGUGCUUAGCUUCGGCGAAGGUACGAAUUGAAGCCCCAGUAAACGGCGGCCGUAACUAUAACGGUCCUAAGGUAGCGAAAUUCCUUGUCGGGUAAGUUCCGACCCGCACGAAAGGCGCAACGAUCUGGGCACUGUCUCAACGAGAGACUCGGUGAAAUUAUAGUACCUGUGAAGAUGCAGGUUACCCGCGACAGGACGGAAAGACCCCGUGGAGCUUUACUGCAACCUGAUAUGGAAUGUUUGUACCGCUUGUACAGGAUAGGUAGGAGCCGAAGAGACGUGUGCGCUAGCAUACGAGGAGGCAAUGGUGGGAUACUACCCUGGCUGUAUGACCAUUCUAACCCGCCACGCUUAGCGCGUGGGGAGACAGUGUCAGGUGGGCAGUUUGACUGGGGCGGUCGCCUCCUAAAGAGUAACGGAGGCGCCCAAAGGUUCCCUCAGAAUGGAUGGAAAUCAUUCGCAGAGUGUAAAGGCACAAGGGAGCUUGACUGCGAGACUGACAAGUCGAGCAGGGACGAAAGUCGGGCUUAGUGAU
RNAcentral lists this ribosomal RNA (1004 nucleotides) under Listeria monocytogenes. Its description in RNAcentral is "bacterial LSU rRNA". It matches the Rfam family "Bacterial large subunit ribosomal RNA", at positions 1419 to 2419 of the family's 2925-position model. Lineage: Bacteria; Bacillati; Bacillota; Bacilli; Caryophanales; Listeriaceae. The record is from RNAcentral.